This 234-nucleotide unclassified non-coding RNA is filed under the name plant metagenome. Its description in RNAcentral is "partial contains small subunit ribosomal RNA, internal transcribed spacer 1, and 5.8S ribosomal RNA". The record is from RNAcentral.
UUUCCGUAGGUGAACCUGCGGAAGGAUCAUUACUGAGUAAUGGUCCUCUGGGUCCAACCUCCCACCCGUGUUUAUUGUACCUUGUUUCUUCGGUGAGCCCGCCUCACGGCCGUCGAAGGGCAUAUGCCCCCAGUCACGCGCUCGCAAAAAACACCAUUGAACUCUGUCUGAAGUUUGCAUUCUGAACGAAAACUAAAUAAGUUAAAACUUUCAACAACGGAUCUCUUGGUUCCG